RNAcentral lists this ribosomal RNA (774 nucleotides) under uncultured Neocallimastigales. Its description in RNAcentral is "partial large subunit ribosomal RNA". It matches the Rfam family "Eukaryotic large subunit ribosomal RNA", at positions 19 to 634 of the family's 3401-position model. The record is from RNAcentral. Lineage: Eukaryota; Fungi; Neocallimastigomycota; Neocallimastigomycetes; Neocallimastigales.
CGAGCACGCGCGUGUGGCAUAUCAAUAAGCGGAGGAAAAGAAACUAACAAGGAUUCCCUUAGUAACGGCGAGUGAAGCGGGAAGAGCUCAAAGUUGAAAUCUUCAAGGUUCUACCUUGACGAAUUGUAGUUUAUAGAAGUGUUUUCUGUUAGUGGAGUGGCAAAAUUCUUUGGAAUAGGACAUCAUAGAGGGUGAGAAUCCCGUAUUUUGUCAUUCCUCCUAGCGUUGUGAUACACUUUCAACGAGUCGGAUUGUUUGGGAAUGCAGUCCAAAAUGGGUGGUAAAUUUCAUCUAAAGCUAAAUAUUGGCGAGAGACCGAUAGCGAACAAGUACCGUGAGGGAAAGAUGAAAAGAACUUUGAAAAGAGAGUUAAACAGUACGUGAAAUUGUCAAAAGGGAAGCGUUUGACACCAGUGUUGUUUUUCCGAAAAUCAAUUACGAAUGUUUUGUUUUUAAGAAGUUAUGACUUCAUCGGCUUGCUCCUUUCUUUACGAAACUUUCUUAAUGCACUUUUCGGUUAACAAGUCAACAUCAAUUUCUUUUGUUGUAAAAGGGUAUGAGGAAGGUGGCUUUCUCUUCGGAGAAAGUGUUUAUAGCCUUGUGCCUCUAGCAAUCGGAGAGAUUGAGGUCUGCAGCGUAGAUCCUUCGGGGUUAGAUACAUUUGUGCUAAGUUAUAGCUUUUCAUAGACAACUUGUUGACUAUGUUUAGUCUUGUAGCUUACUCGCUUAUGCUAUUUUACCUACGCUUAGGAUGUUGAACUCUAUCACACACAG